AUGACUCCCGACCACGCUGCUGCUGCUAUCGCCUCCCUACCCUACCUCGCCGCCGCCGCCGCCGGCACCUCCGGCUCGCUCCGGCGACCCCGCCCCUGCUGCUCCUUCCCUCUCCGCCGCCCUCCGCCCAUAUACCUCACCUGCGCCGCCUUCCCUUACACCCCUCCUCCCUGCGCCCCCGCCGGCGAUGGACAACACAUGUUCCGUGGCCUUCCCCAGCCACGAUGCUCCAACGUGGAAGCGGUCGGCGACGUGGCAGCAGCAGCAGUGCCCGACGAUUACACAGAGAACGCGCCGUCAAGCAGUGGAUACGCGAAUGGCCAUAUGGCCACCGCUUCAUCGCACCAAGAAGAUCAUCCUUCUGAAGGAAGCGCGGGCAAGGAGAACCACAAGGCUACUACAGCCAACAUCAACCAAAAAAUGGUCAAGAUAUCUGAUAAGUUGAUUGGCGUCUUCAUGGUCGAUAAGCCUACACCGACGGAUUGGAGGAAAUUGCUGGCGUUCAGCAGGGAGUGGGACAACAUAAGGCCGCAUUUUUUCAAGCGCUGCCAGGAGAGAGCAGAUGCGGAAACAAAUCCUGAGAUGAAGCACGGCCUUCUCAGGCUGGCUAGAAAACUGAAAGAGGUAGACGAGGACGUACAAAGGCACAAUGAACUAUUUGAAUUAGUGAAAUCCACACCAUCUGGCAAAAUUGGUGAUGUUGUUGCUAAGCGCCGUAAAGAUUUCACGGUGGAGUUUUUCAACCACCUUUAUUAUGUCGCAGAGUCGUAUAAGGAUGAGCCUGCUAAGCAAAAAGAGUUGGCAACACUUGGAAAUGAUUGUGUGGAUGCUCUGCAAGCUCAUGAUGACAUGUCUGGCAGUCUUCAAGCGCUGAAUGUUGCGGAACUAAAGCUAAAGGACAUACUCAAUUCACCUUCAGUGGACGCUGCAUGCCGAAAGAUCGAUGACUUGGCCGAGAAGAAGGAACUAGACUCUGCGUUGGUGUUGAUGCUUUCAAAAGCUUGGUCAGCUGCAAAGGGCACCGACAUCACAAAAUCGGACGCAAAAGACAUAAUGUUCCAUCUAUACAUGACUGCUGUGGCCAAUCUCCAGAGGCAAAUGCCAAAGGACAUCAGAAUACUGAAGCAUCUUAUAAUGAUUGAGGAUCCAGCAGAACGUCUGAGUGCGUUGAAUGACGCUUUUACUCCUGGUCCUGAACUUCAAGGCGAGAAUGUCGAUACCUUAUUCACGAGUCCUGAGGUGUUGCACACUUGGGCAAGCGCUAUAAUCGACGCAUAUUAUAGCAGCAGGGAGGGCACUCUCCUUGGGCAGGCAAGGGACUUGAUGAACCCUAAAAUUAUCAAGAGGGUUGAAGAGCUUGUGAAGACGAUCAAGGAUCAAUACCUCUGA
This 1389-nucleotide ribosomal RNA is filed under the name Triticum aestivum (bread wheat). RNAcentral describes it as "partial small subunit ribosomal RNA". Lineage: Eukaryota; Viridiplantae; Streptophyta; Magnoliopsida; Poales; Poaceae. The record is from RNAcentral.